AAUGGCUUUUUAAAGAUACUCUUGGAUUUUUACUCACCCUACUUACUCACAAGCAUGGCGUCCAUGUGUGGUAGGCGGUUCAUCAAAAUGGCAUCUAAGGAAAUGAAAAAUAGCCUGCAUUCAAAAUACAUGCAUGGCCCAUCUGAUUAGAAGUUGAGACUAUGUCCUUCUUUCUCGGCCAAGGUAGUUACAACAAAGUGGGUUGCUUAAAGGGAAUGAUCUCACGGAUCGCUUUUUCCGAAUCCUCAUGGAAAUUUCUGUAGCAAAUUGUUUGGCCACUGGCAUGAUUAAUCCAAGCUCAUUGUUCCUAUAAAUGCCACAACAAGUCCAACAUCUCUCAUUUGUUGUUAUUGAUAUGUAUGCAAAGCUUGUGGUUUUAGUUAUUAAGAUUUUGUCAGUGAUUGUGAGAGUUAUCUAAAAGGAUGCAGAAGAGAAGAAAGCUGCUUUCAGCCGAAGGGCAUAUUUCAGAUUGUUUCUGAACUGACUUUUGGACCUUAGUUCCCCUAACCCUGUCCUUGAUAGUUCCAACUUUCAGGUUCACUUUCUGUACAAAGGCACUCUAAGGGUGCUCUUGGUACUGCUUCAUGAUUUUCCGGAGUUCCUUUGUGAUUAUCAUUUCAGCUUCUAUGAUGUGAUUCCACCCAGUUGCAUUCAAAUGCGGAAUGUUAUUCAAAGUGCAUUCCCACGAAACAUGAGGUUGCCCAAUCCUUCUACUCCCAACUUGAAGUUGGCUGCAUCACGAUUUUGUUUGA
Molecule: long non-coding RNA, 752 nt
Organism: Magnolia sinica
Lineage: Eukaryota; Viridiplantae; Streptophyta; Magnoliopsida; Magnoliales; Magnoliaceae
Exons: 5
Source: RefSeq, a predicted model, not a curated record